GAUUUAUAAAGAAGUGGCGAGAGACAGGCUCUUUGACCCACUGGCAACCCUCCCAAAAUGGAGAAGGUGCCAAUUCCUGACCGGGCAGCAUGGUGCUGUUUGGAAAGAUAAAUU
This is a regulatory RNA element of Pedobacter heparinus DSM 2366, 114 nucleotides long. It matches the Rfam family "SAM riboswitch aptamer (S box leader)". Rfam says of the family: The SAM riboswitch is found upstream of a number of genes which code for proteins involved in methionine or cysteine biosynthesis in Gram-positive bacteria. The SAM riboswitch acts at the level of transcription termination control. The record is from Rfam. Lineage: Bacteria; Pseudomonadati; Bacteroidota; Sphingobacteriia; Sphingobacteriales; Sphingobacteriaceae.